GCGCUAAGGACGCUGGUAACAAGGAAACACCGCGAGAUGAUCUCCUUCUCGCGAGAACUGCGCCACGGCCGAGCGGCAGCUGUCCGGGACGCCUCACACUGAAAGGCAAGGUGCGGACAGUGAAGGCAAAUAAAAAAGCAUUCAUGUAACACUGUGAGAUCUCAGCUAAUGGAGUUAGUGAUACCCUUUCUACCUGGGUUAAGGAGCAAUGUCCAACUGUAUAAAGAUUACUAGAUGAAAAUACUGAUACACAAAGUUUGAAGAACUUGGUCACAGACAUACUGCUGCUUCUUGCUGAUGUGCCUGGGAAAGCAGUAGAAGAUGGCCAAGUGCUUGGGCCCCUACACCCACAUGGGAGACCUGGAAGAAGCUCCUGCGUCCUGGCUUUGGCCUUUGCAGCCAUUUGAGGAGUGAACCAGAGUAUUGUUACUAUGAUGACUCAGAAUGGCUGUUUGUCAAACAGAUGAUAGAAUGAGAGAAUGAAGACUUAAAUAUAAGAAAAAAGAGAAAACUACUAAGUCUGGAAUGUUAUUCCCUUGAAGAACUAGAAGACAAUGAAGCAAUGUCUAUGUCAUAGGCAAGGUAAGGGAAUGAUAUACACAGCUAAGUCAUACUUCAAGUGAAAUUUUAAUAGGUUUUUUUUUUUUUUGGUUAUGCUAGUACUCAAGGGUUAUUUCUCACAAAAGUCCUGGUUGAGGAAAUUGCUUGCAGGUGAACCUCAAUUAAACAAGUAGCUGGGAAGCAAUAACAAAAUCCUGAAUUUUGAAUUAAUUUUAUUUAGAAAAAAGAUGAAAGGAAUUAUGGAGAUGGACAUGAAGAAAUAAGUAUAAAUUUAUAUGUCUAAUAAUGGGAAAUGUUAUUCACUUACAGAAUGAGAAAGGAAAAGAUGAGAAGUUGAAAAAAUUUUUUAUCAUUCCAAAUUUGAAAAAUGAACUAAUAGAUUUAAAAUAAGAGUAAAAUAACGUUUACUACAUAUACUUAUAAAGGUAUACUAUAUCAUCUUUUGUUAAAUUGGCAUUACUGCUACUGUCUAAAUCUGGAAACUAUUUCCCAGAUUCCUCUUUAUUCUAUGGAAUCUUGUUAGACUUGGUCGAAGAUAGGAACCCUGCACAGUUUGGAAGAGGUAAGCGAAACAAGGGAAAUUGAUUUGAAUGGCUAUGACGGUCAGACAUGAUAAGGAUGAAGUGGUACAAACAGACCUCAGCAAGUUUUUAUCCUCUUACUGUUCUGAGUUAAGGUUUCUCCUGAAUCCCUGGCCUGCUGAGCAACCCUGGCUCGGUGUGCACAAGCAGAGCAAGCCAGUGUUCACACAGAAAGCAGUUUCCUUCGACAUGCUCAGUGCAUUUCUUGAUAGAUGUGCACAACUCCUUGGAUUUGGUCACAACUUCAGGCUUUUGCAUCCAGGCCAGUGUGGUCAGUGACUGUUUCUCUAAUUUUUCUAUUCUUAAUCUGUAGAGCUUCACAUUUGAAGAAUUUCUAAUUUCUAAAUUAAGCCUCUUUCUGCCAUGGUACCUGUAAUGGCUUUAGUUUAUGAGUGACACGAGGAAUGAGUGUUAACCAAUGUAAUGUUUUUGACUUAACAAAAACAGGCAAAUGUCCUUUCAAAAGAAAAAAAUAGAGUGAUUACCUCAAUAUAAAACAAAUGUAAUUCAGAUCCCAAGCAUUAUAUUAGACAAGGAGGGUAAACUUCUCAUGCUAUAGGCUUCUCUUUAUAACCAAAUUUUAAUUUCUGAAUACAUGAGUGAUACUCAAAAUGUUAAUGAAAAAUCCAUACUAUGAAAAAACCAUGCAUGAAUUUCAAAAAUGUUUGCACCAAAAUACUCAUCGUUUAAUCCAUUUCUUAUGAACUUUUUGAAGUCAUUCAUAUAUGUACAAAAUAGCACAAUAGCAGCAUAAACUAGACUCUUUAAUAUUUAAAUCUUGACUUUUAAUUUUAGUGUCAAUACUUUUGGUAUUUUCCCAUUAAGGAAGAUGCUGGAUUUGGAUAAAAGAUAUACUAUUUUCAUGUUCAGGAAGUUUUCACUGUGUGAUUUAAGAAAAAACUAAAAUAGUUGUUGAAUUUUAUCAGAUGCCUCAUUAGUAUUUUUAAGAGACUAUGAAAGGAUUUUUCUUUUUGGGUUAUCACCAUGAUAAAUAUUUUUUUAACUUUUAUUUAAUGAAUAUAAAUUUCCAAAGUACAGCUUAUGGAUUACAAUGGCUUCCCCCCCAUAACGUCCCUCCCACCCACAACUCUCCCCUUUCUCACUCCCUCUCCCCUUCCAUUCACAUCAUGAUCAUUUUCAAUUCUCUUUAUAUACAGAAGAUCAGUUUAGCAUACAUUAAGUAAAGAUUUCAACAGUUUGCUCCCACACAGAAACAUAAAGUGAAAAAUACUGUUUGAGUACUAGUUAUAGCAUUAAAUCUCAAUGUACAGCACACUAAGGACAGAACUCCUACAUGAGGAGUAAGUGCACAGUGACUCCUGUUGUUGACUUAGCAAAUUGACACUCUUGUUUAUGGCCUCAGUAAUCAACCUAGGCUCUUGUCAUGAGCUGCCAAGGCUAUGGAAGCCCCCUGAGUUCACUGACUCUGAUCAUAUUUAGACAAGGCCAUGGUCAAAGUGGAAGUUCUCUCCUCCCUUCAGAGAAGGUACCUCCUUCUUUGAUGACCUGUUCUUUCCACUGGGAUCUCACUCGCAGAGAUCUUUCAUUUAGGUGGUUGUUUUUUUUUUUUUUUUUUUUUUUGCCAGAGUGUCUUGGCUUUCCAUGCCUGAAAUACUCUCAUGGGCUUUUCAGCCAGAUCCGCAUGCCUUAAGGGCUGAUUCUGAGGCCAGAGUGCUGUUUAGGACAUCUGCUAUUCUAUGGGUCUGCUGUGUAUCUCACUUCCCAUGUUGGAUCAUUCUCUCCCUUUUUGAUUCUAUCAGCUAGUAUUUGCAGACACUAUUCUUGUUUAUGUGAUCCCUUUGGUUCUUAGUCCUAUCAUUAUGAUCAACUGUGAACAGAAAUUGAUCACUGGGACUAGUGAGAUGGCAUUGGUACAUGCCACCUUGAUGGAAUUGAAUUGGAAUCCCCUGGUAUGUUUCUAACUCUACCGUUCGAGGUAAGUUGGCUUGAGCAUGUCCCGAAUUGCACACCAUGAUAAAUAUUGACCUAUCUGUACAUUUUUGGCGUUAAUCCCACAUUAAUCUUUUAACAUGAUGUCAAUUAUUUUCUGAAUAUCAUUUUAUGAAGCUUUUUUUCAUUAAUGUUUUUGGUCUGCAUUGCUGUUGACAUUGUUGUGUAAUCUGUUAAGUUUAGGAAUCAGUUUUAUGCUCCAUUCAUAUAAAUAUUUUAGAAUUAAAUAUUUUUAAAGAGGACUAAAAAUAUUGUAUUAUCUGGUCUGUACAAAUGACUGGAUCAUUUGGUUUUUGGAAGGAUAAGAGUAGUCUUUAAGGAAAUUGAUCAUUUUAUGUUCUCUUUCCUCCAGAGAGUUGUUAUUGAAUAUAAGCACUUGAAAACUAGAAGGAUGGUAGAAAAUGGUGAUGAAGAUUGCUAGAUAUGAUGUCCUUGGAUAUCUUGGAGCAAAAGAAAUUUUAUUUUCUUGUUCUGGGGGUACUACAAAUGUCAUUUUAAGUAAUAAUUUGUGGUAAAAGAAUUCUAUUUCAGUUGCCUAUAUUUAUGCCUUGAAAAAAAGUAAAAUGAAUUUUUUUUUUCUUUUUAUUUUUGACAGGCAGAGUGAACAGUGAGAGAGAGAGAGAGAGAGAAAGGUCUUCCUUUGCCGUUGGUUCACCCUCCAAUGGCUGCCAUGGCCGGCGUGCUGCGGCCGGCACACCGCGCUGAUCUGAUGGCAGGAGCCAGGUGCUUCUCCUGGUCUCCCAUGGGGUGCAGGGCCCAAGCACUUGGGCCAUCCUCCACUGCACUCCCUGGCCACAGCAGAGAGCUGGCCUGGAAGAGGGGCAACCGGGACAGAAUCCGGCGCCCUGACCAGGACUAGAACCUGGUGUGCCAGCGCCGCAAGGUGGAGGAUUAGCCUAUUGAGCCAUGGCGCCAGCCUUAAAAACUUUAAAAAAAAAAAAAAAAAACUUUUUCAAAAAACUUUUUUAAAAAAUAUUUUUAAAACAAAAAAAAAUGGGAAUGUAGUGAUAAAUGUUUAAAGUAGAAAGGAAUUUCAGAAAAAAUAUAUAAAGAUUAUGGUAAAAGGAAGUAAGAGGAGGAUGGGUAAGAAAAGUGAAAGAGCAGCAUGAAGAGCAAAACAGAAAAAAGGCAAAGCAAGUUAGACUUUAGACUACAAAUUAGACUACGAAUUGAAUAACACGGAAAGUUGAGAGCAUGGCACAGUUCUCAGAGGCCAAAUUCCAAGCAGACAGAAAAGUAAAAUUAUUUACACAUUGAUGCUGACUGAUUCAUCUCUUGGUGAUGCAAAUCUGGGGAUGCUAAGACAUGAUCAUGUUAUAUAUAAGCAGUUGACAGGAUAGAGGAUAUUUUAGAUUUUGUGAUUAGUAUGAUUAUGAUUAUGAUUAUUAUAUUUUUAGGAUAGAUGGAGUGAGUGGUUGUAUCACUGCUCGAGAUGCCUACCUCCCAAAUCAAGUGCCUGGUUUCAAGUCCUAGCUUCACUCCUUAUUCCAACUUUUCACUAAUGUGCACCUGGAGAAUCCAGGUACUUGGCUCCCUGCCACAGAUGUGUGAGACCUGAACUGAUUUUCUGGAUGCUGGCUUCUGCCUGGCCCAGCCCUGGUUGUUGCAGAUGGCUCAGGAAUGAACCAAUGGAUAGGAACUCUCUGUCUCUGUCUCUCUGCAUUUCAAAUACAUUAAAUAAGUAAAUUAAAAAAAAUGUAAAAAUAAAUAUUAGAACAGCUAAAAGCAAGUUACUAAAAUAAACUACAUUUGAUUUUUAAAAUUAAUUUCUCAAGCCUAAAUUUGAUUUCAAUGAUCUGAAUGAAAAAAUAAUAACUAAUAGUGUAGAAACUUGCCUCUUAGAUAGAGUAACAUAUUUUACUGAGAUUUAAAUUGGCUAGUUAAAUUUUCUCAUAAAACUUCGUUUACAUUUUGAGACUGUUGGUCAUUCUAAGAUCUUGGGCAUAUGAAAGUUGCAUUUUAAUGCUAGAAUAAUAUUUGAGUGAGAGUAAAACAAAUGUAGACUUUUAAAUGUGUGCUUUUUAGAUAGUAUUUAAAACUUUAAUUAGAAAUGUAACCCAGGGCUGACAGAUUUUAUUUGUUGGCCUUGAACAACAUGCAGGCAAUAAGUCUGCAUGAAGCUCAUAAACAUAUUGGAAGUGUGCCCUUUUCCUGCCUGCUGUGUGAGAGUCUUGAUGACUGGCAGUCUCACAAGCAUUAGACUGGGAAUAACAGACCAUCAUCUGGAUAUCUUAGUCACUUAUUAACAUCUCAACAAUUUAAAUUCUUCUUCUUUUUUUAAGAUGUAUUUAUUUGAAAGUCAGAGUUACAGAGGCAGAGGGAGAGAGAGGGAGAGAGAGAGAAAGAGAGAGAGAUCUAUCUACCAGUUCACUCCCCAGAUGGCUGCAACUUCUGGAGCUGUGCUGAUCUGAAGCCAGGAUCCAGGAGCUUCCUCUGGUUCUCCCACAUAGGUGCAGGGUCCCAAGGACUUGGGCCAGCUCCUACUGCUUUCCCAGGCCAUAGCAGAGAGCUGGAUCAGAAGUAGAGCAGCCAGGACUUGAAUGGGCGCUCAUAUGGGAUGCUGACACUGCAGGUGGUGGCUUUACCCGCUAUGCCACAAUGCUGGCCCCUGCACACUUCUUAAAAUAGCAUAUUAUGAUAGUUUUCUUUAAAGCUUCUAGAAUGAUAUAAGUAAACCUUAACAAUGAUUAUAUUUCUCAUUUGGAAGUUAUUUUGUAACUAAGUCAUUAGUGGCAUAAAUAAAAUAGAUUAAAAGUAUCAAUUAUAGUAAAUUGUAAAUUGUGUUUAUAGUCCAUUAGUGGAAAACUUAAAUGCAAUAAUUACUUAAUAGUGCUGAGUAACAUAUGCUCUCAUACUCAACAGAAUAGUGUUUAUUCCAUUCAAAAUUGAAAAAAAAAAGACUUUUUUGUGGUCUAAGUCAGCAAGCAAUUGUUUUAGGUUUCACAUUGACUGGCAUUUUCUGGGGUCAUGAGGAGCCACCUCAUCUUGCAGAUAUUGAUAUUACUGCUCUUUAGCCGUAGAAGAGACUUGGGACCAAACACAAAGUGACUUGAUUGAUAUCUUGUCCCAAACAACACUCUCAAACACUUAGAAAACUUUUCUUAGGCCUUUUCAGAAGGUGUGAGACUACUUGGUCAGUACAAUAUGCAUUUAGCCAAGAAGGGAUCAUUUUCUCCGUUAUAUAGAAACCCUAAAACUUUUUCCACUAAUAAAACCCAUCUAAUAAAAUCCAAAAACAGUGCCUAUUAUCUUGUCAGAAAAGGGGAAUAUAUCCAAAAGAAGAAGAAAAAAACUGAUCAAACCAUCGGAAGAAAGAGUAAUUUAGUUAAGCAUUUUUUUUUUUUAAUUUCAGGGAACAUCUGUGAAAUUUUCCAGAACUCUCAGCAAGUAUUUUGGAUUGAGAAAGAGAAGAUUGUUUUUUGUUUUUCAUUUGUCUUUCUUUGGUCAAACCAUUAAUACAUACAAUCAGACACCUAUACAUUAACCACACUUCUACACCUACCAUAGCACACCAUACAAGUGUCAACAUUAUGUCUUUCCUUGCUCUGGUUCACUCUUCAUAUUACAUGUAUAGGUUCAAAAAGUAAUACAGAAGACUAAAGAUCCCAUGAUUCUAAGUAUUUCCAAAAAGAUUUACAGCAGUGUUUUCAAUUGCUAAUUAUUGCUGAUUUAACCAUAGGUUAAGGGCAUCACCAGUGCUGAUGAGGUUGUGGAUAAAAGGGAAACCUAAUACAUUGUUGGUGGGAAUGAAAAUUAAUUUGCCAUUGUGGAGAAUAUGAAGGUUCUUCAAAAAAGUAAAAGCACAUGUCCCAUAUGAUACAGCUAUUGCACUUCUGGGAAUGAAUCCAAAGGAAUGAAAUUAGUCUAUCAAAGAGAUAGCCACACUCCAUGUUUAUUGUAGCACUCUUUAUAAUUACAAAGUUAUAAAAUUAAUCUAAAUGUUCAUUAUGGUGAAUGGAUAAGAAACUAUGGGAUAUAUACACCAUAGAAUAUUACAGAGCCAUAAAAAUUAAAUUCUGACAGUUGAAACAAAAAGGUGGAAUUCUAGAUCAUUUUAUAGAUACACAUUUGUGUGAACUUGUAUAUGUUUGUUAGUUGAUAUGAAUCUAAUUUAGUGAUUACUGGAGGCUGAGUAUGAUAAGGGGUUGGGAAAUGACCAGACAAUGUGUCCCAAAAUGGAGUCUGGUAGAGGUAAUGGAUUCUGGUGUCCACAAACGAGUAGAGCAACUACAGUCUGCAGUAAUGGAAAUGGAAGGGCUCAUUGCCUGGAGUGAUUGGUUUAUGCUAUAUGUAUCUGUUAAAAUAUUUCAUAAUAGUGCACAAAGUAUACAGGCAUUUUAUGUUAAUCCAAAAUUUUAAAAAUAAAUUUAAAAUAACCUUCAGAUCUUUACUGGUCUAAUUUUGCCCUUACUAUAUUCCUAAGUAAUGCACUAUCCUGAAUUGAAUUUUGUGUUUGGCAUUCUUAUGAAUUUGUAUUUAUAACAACUUAUGGGUAUGUCCACAUAUGAUGAAUAGGUUUGUUUUGUAUGAUUUCAAACUUUGUAUAAACAUAUGAUGCUAUAAUUUGUUUUGUUCCUAGUUUAAUAUAUCCCUUACCAUAACUUUGUUAAUAGAAUAUUUAUUUGUAACAAUUAUAGCUUUAUUUAACUGACUAUAUUUUCUGUAAGUAUUUAAUGAUGUGAUUAUUCAAAAAUAUAUGUAUUCAUUAUACUGUUGAUAGAUACAUAAUUGAUUCCUAUACAUAAAAUACAGUUAGUUAAGUAGAACUUCCUGAUGAGUCUUGGUUCUUUGUUUUUAAUCACCAUGAAUUAUUAUAAUUGGAAACAAAGAUUCCCUUGAAAAUCUAUCCCAAAUUAGCAUGUUAUCAUUUUUUCAAACUCCAUAUAUAAUUAAGAAGUCUCAUAAUUAUUCUUUUCUCAAGCAGAUUUUGGAUUUUGUCUUCCCCUUUUGUAUGCAGAAGUUUAAUCUUCAUUGCCACACAGUUAUCAAAUUAUUGGAUUCAUAUCUUAUUUCUGGUCUUGGUGCCCCCUGAACCUAGGAUUUUCUCAUGGGUCAUCAAUACCUGUUCCCCUUUAAGUCUCAUCUUUCAUUGAAUUUUCCACUUUACAUUUUAGUGCUACUAAAAUAUAUCUGAUCAUGCACAUGAUUUCCUACAUGCCAUCACUAAAUAUUAUAUGCAAAUUUUGAUCUUAUUCCUGAAGAUUAAAAAUUAUUAUGGAAUAGUUUAAGGACUAAGUAAACUCUUUUAAAAGGGAACCAUUGUCAUUUUUUUCUUGACUGUUCCAUUGUUCUAGUACUCAGUUUUUUCCAUUGUGCCAUCUCGCUCUCUGGUACAUUUUGUGGUGCCUUUUUCUGGUGGCUACUGGGAGAUGAAGAAUUAAAUAAUAUAUACCACUUAGUGAAUAUUUAAAAAUAUUUUUCCAUUUAGUUUACUAGACUGUCUUUAAAUAUUAGAUCAGACUUAUGUGAACCCUAAAAUUACAGUGCAUCUUGUUUGUACAAAGGGUACUGAAAUAUAUAUAAAUUUUAAAACAAAAUAUUUGGUCAUCCCUCGGAGACAUUCCAAAAUUCCCACAAGAUUUAGCCCUUAGGAAAUCAAACCACUGUGACAACAAACCAAGGUACUGUUGCUUCAGAUGACCCAGUUUUCUUGUGGAGUCAUGGCUUCUCCAAAUGAUGAAAAUAGAUAAUGUCACUUGUCAAUUAAAAACACAUUUUAUGGAAUCAUAUAGAAUAUCACAUCAAAACCUGACAUGUUAACUUUGAGGUUCUAGUGAUCUAAACUGUUUUUUUCUAAAUGAAGAAAAAAUAUUCUUUGGGACAGAGUGACUGUGAAAAAUCUACCAUAAAACAUAUAUCCCUUCUGUUCAUAGAGAGUAAAGAACAAUAGUUCUAAAUUGUGUUUUUCCAUUGACCUCCCUAUUGUUGCUGUGGAUUCGUUCUGAGAGGAGGAGCGUGGUGGGGGCAAGAGGUGCAGAGUCACCACACAGACCCCAGCAGCCGGGUGAAAGCAGACCAGAGGCAAGCAGCCUGCAGACUCAUUUAUUUCAGUUGGUACAGCAACUUAAAUAGCCAAGGCAGCCAAUCCGGUCAAGGGGCGGUCUAUGCCCUAACCAAUCAUAGCCUGUUGCCAGGCAGUUUCCGUUGCCAGCUGCCAUCUUGGCAUGGCCAUCUCAUUCCACCACACUCUAUAAUUUAUAAUAAUUUACAAUGUGAGCAUUUGUUAAGUGUGUAAUAGUUGAUCCUGUGCUAAUUCUUUUCAUGUAUUACUUAAUUUUCCAAACAAACCAUUGAGUUGCACAUGAUAUUUAUUUCUUGUUUAGAUAUGAGAGUACUGAAGGUCAGAGAAUGAAUUACUUAGCUAUGAAUGUGCCUAGAUUGUAUUUUUUUAAAGCUUCAUUUUCUUUUUCUUUUUUUAAAGAUUUAUUUAUUUGAAUGUCAGAGUUACACAGAUAGCAGAGAGGCAGAAAGAGAGAGAAAGAGAGAGAGAAAGAAAGAGAGAGAGAGAGGGAGAGGUCUUCCAUCCAAUAGUUCACUCCCCAGUUGGCCACUUGGCCAGAGCUGUGCUGACCCAAAGCCAGGAGCCAGGAGCCAGGAGUUAGGAGCCAGGAGUUUCUUCUGGGUCUCCAAAGCGGGUGCAGGGGCCCAAGGACUUGGGCCAUCUUUUGCUGCUUUCCCAGGACACAGUAGAGAGCUGGAUUGGAAGUGAAGCAGCCGGGUUUCAAACCAGCGCCUAUAUGGCAUGCCAGCACUUCAGGCCAGGGUGUUAAUCCCCGCGGAGAUUAUAUAUUAUACAUGUAAUUCUUAACUUCAUUUUCUUUGAGUCUAACCAUUUUUCUAAAUUGUUUCCCAAUAACUUAAUUUAUUUAGGUUAGGUACAGAAUAAAUGUAGUGAUACACAACUUUUCACCAUUCAGAUUAAUGGGACCAAAUUUAAAAAGCAGAGCUUGAACUCAGGAAGUUCUCAAAAACUAAUGGAAAGGCCGGUGCCACGGCUCAAUAGGCUAAUCCUCCGCCUGCGGCGCCGGCACCCCAGGUUCUAGUCCCGGUCGGGGCACUGGAUUCUGUCCUGGUUGCUCCUCUUCCAGUCCGGCUCUCUGCUGUUGCCUGGGAAGGCAGUGGAGGAUGGCCCAGGUCCUUGGGCCCUGCACCCGCAUGGGAGACCAGGAGGAAACACCUGGCUCCUGGCUUCGGAUCAGCGCAGUGCACCGGCCAGUGGAUACCAGCCACUUGGGGGGUGAACCAACGAAAAGGAAGACCUUUCUCUCUGUCUCUCUCACUGUCUAACUCUGC
Molecule: non-coding RNA, 10385 nt
Organism: Oryctolagus cuniculus (rabbit)
Lineage: Eukaryota; Metazoa; Chordata; Mammalia; Lagomorpha; Leporidae
Source: RefSeq, a predicted model, not a curated record